This is a non-coding RNA of Ictidomys tridecemlineatus (thirteen-lined ground squirrel), 72 nucleotides long. NCBI's taxonomy places the organism in Eukaryota, Metazoa, Chordata, Mammalia, Rodentia, Sciuridae. The record is from Rfam.
UGGAGUGUGGCUCAGUGGUACAGCUCUUACCUGGUAUGCACAAGGCCCUGGGUUCGAUCCCUAGCACUGCAA